CUCACUUUAGACAACAAGUGAAUUAGAACUUCUCCUCCUUAUCCUUUAAUCUGCCACAAAGUAUCAUUUCCUUAAUACACACCAUUCACUUUCUAGUUUACAAUAGAUCUCACGAUCGCAUUUCUUGGGGCUUAACUUACUCCGGCAAAUUUACUGUUAAGUCUUGUUUCAUGGAACUUCUUGCUAACACAGAGUAAGAAGCUUCUGCGGGAACCAGUACUAACCUUGCCUGGAUAUGGAAACUCCACCUCCCGCCAAAAAUAAAGUGCCUCCUCCAAAAAUUGGGUAGUCCUGAUAUAUGCCAUAUCUACAGUGAACAGAACAGACUAGCGGAUGCUUUAGUAUCUACUAUUACUACUACUACUGCUGCUUUCAUGCAUAACUCCCCGGCUUCAGUUAUGCUUUUUUGGGAAUCUCCGCCAUCCCUCAUGGAUAUUUUGCGUGCCGACCAAUGUGGAGAUUUGACAGCCCGUAGGGUGAAAUACUCAUCUAUAGAUCAGGAUGUACAUAACAUAAGUGUUGUUGAUGUUGUACAUAUUCCUACUAGCCUAGCUAGCGCUACUUCUGCUAGCUCUUUUGUAGUGGCUAUGCCACAGUUACUGUCCCUGUAGAACUUUUGUUACAUAAAUAAAAGCCUUUCUGACCAAAAAAAAAGAAGGUAAACGUUGCCAAA
Molecule: long non-coding RNA, 673 nt
Organism: Capsicum annuum
Lineage: Eukaryota; Viridiplantae; Streptophyta; Magnoliopsida; Solanales; Solanaceae
Exons: 2
Source: RefSeq, a predicted model, not a curated record